CUGGUUAAUGCCAGUACAAAUGGUACUUUGAAGCACCAUUUGAAACAACACCAUGUUUAACACAUAUGUUAGAAAUACCAUUUGGCUCUCUUAUUCAGUUUUGAAGUGUUUCAUUUUUUUCAGACAUCAGUAGUGAGUGGCUAUUUGGGCCAUCGACCACCCAAAGAGGUAAUUUUACUUUAAAUAAUUGUUCCUCAUACAUAGUUUUCCCCAUCUUCCCCGUUGAUCGUUGCUUCAAACCAACACGUUUUUUUUGACACAUUUCAUUGUUGGUCUGACUGGAUAAAGGACUACCCAACUGCAUACAAAGCCAUUCCUCUUGUGCAGUAAAGAAACACACACACACACACACACACACACACACACACACACACACACACACACACACACACACACACACACACACACACACACACACACACACACACACACACACACACACACACACACACACACACGGCAUCCCAGGACCAAGCCAAACUUCCUCGAUAUCAGGCUAACUGAUGGUUGAACAAGUAAAACUUAAAAUAUUGUAACUUACACACAAUAACAUGACUUUUUUAUUCCAGCUCAAUCAAAUGGCAGCCAGAGACUUGAGCUACUACAUAUAGGUAGGUUUUGGCGUCAGUAGAACAACUAAUUUCAACAUGUAUUGAUUGAACAUGUAUUUAUAUAAAUUUCUUACAAGGUAAAUCUUACAAACUCUUCCUUAAAUACACUACUUUGAAAAAAAUAUAUAAUCAUUGGCACUUGACACUAAUCAAUGACUUUUGAAUAUAGAUAGUCCAACCAAGCCACCAGCUAUUGCAUGGUAAGUCGAGGAGACAAACAUUCUAACCAUUGUUUUCAUCAUUAUCAUACACAUUAUAAUUAAGAUGAAAUGGGAAAGUACACCAAAGUACACCAAACCCCAGAAAACAUUUCUAAUAAGUAACUUCUAUGAACAGAUAUGGGAAUAUCUAAAGUCGUGGAGCUGCUUUCCAAAGUGCUGGAAGAAAAUAAAUUGAUGAAAGCAGAAAUUACCAACCUGGGGAGUGAAGUGAGGGCGCUUAGGAGAGAGAUGGUGAGGCCGGUAGCACCAGAAGCUGCCGCUUCGUCCAUCAAGCUGCCUCUGAGGACAAUGGAGGAGUUUCAAUUAGCAGAGGCUGUUAUGAGAGAAACCCCCUGCGAAAAACAAAAGAUGAUCUUAACAUUCAGUCUAAUUGGAGGGCACACUGCAGAAGAGGCCGUAAGAAGGAUGUUGCAGAGUGGCCUAACAAAUAACCUGGCGUGUCGCUUCAACUGGGCAGGGAAAGGCUUCAAGGAAGCCUUUAAAAGCACUGUCCUUAGUGAUGUACUGUUCGGUAUGUUUGUCAAAACUCAGUCACACCACACAAGCAUUAGACACAGAUACCACUGAUUAAAAUAAAUGCUUUUAAACCAGCAAGUCGAUUUUUUAAUAUGCACUAUGGGUAGUCUUCUGAGCUAUGCUUAUUUCAUGUAAAAUCAGAAAAAGUCCAUUCAUAGGCUACUAUGCGAUCUCAGUUUUGUGUCCAGAUGCAGCAAUGCUUUUAACACUGACAAUAUUCUGCACUGCACUCUUGGACUAUCAGUCAGCACUAUAGAACACUUUAGUUUGACGUUAUUUUACUUUUACUAUCUAGCUAUCUUGCACCGAAAGCCUACAUUCACAUAAGAAUGUAACAACGCGCUACUCCGCUAGCAUUGGCUACGAGUGGUAUGUCGGGCUACGGGCAUGCCCGUAGCCACGACGCUGAAGUUGGAAUCCGAUUCGCAGCAUCCGAUUCGGCUUGAAAACCACUUAGAAUCUUCAAAUCGGUCCUGAUUGAAAACCACUACACCUAUACUCUUCAAAUCUGGACUACAUUAUCACAGUAAGGCUAUACAUUAUGUAAAACAUAGUUUCAGAUUUUUGAAACCUUUACCCUAUUUGUGAAAAUGCAAUGCGGUCUGGACCCCUAAAUGAGCCUGUAUUGCAUUUUCACAAAUAGGGUAAAGGUUUCACAAAUCUGAAAAUAUGUUUUACAUAAUGUAUAGCCUCACUGUGAUAAUUUAGUCCAGAUUUGAAGAGUCUAGGUGUAGUGGUUUUUAAUCAGGAUCAGUUCUAAUGCGGUCUGGACCCCUAAAAAGCAUUAAAAUGUGCCUUUAUUGCAUUUUCACAAAUAGGGUAAAGGCUCACAAAUCUGAAACUAUGUUUUACAUAAUGUAUAGCCUCACUGUGAUCAUUUAGUCCAGAUUUGAAGAGUCUAGGUGUAGUGGUUUUCAAUAAGGACCGAUUUAAAGUGGACCAGCUGCCGAAUCGGAUGCUGCGAAUCGGAUGCCAACUUCAGCGUCGUCCCGUAGCCUACCAAUUUAACCCUGCAUGCAUGCAUUCUGUAAUCAAAGAAGUAACUGGGAUGGAGUCGAUGUGGUAACCCAUAGUGCAGUAAAAUGAGACUGAGAGGACAGUGAAACCAAUGCACUGCGCACCAGCGUUAAGGGUCUGUGGUUAGGAAACAAAUUGCUGACUUUUUGCCUGCAGGUGCACUAUGCAAAAAAUGGCCAUGGCCAUGUUACAGCUUACCGUCGCCAUGUUGGUAAUUCUUGACCGCUGCCAGGGACCACCCAUAUUGUUUUUUCAGGGACACUGAAGAAGUGGCUUAAAUAUGCACCGGAGAGAGAGGGAGGUGGAGGGAGGCGAACAAAUGAACGCGAUCAGGUAGGCCUAUGUACGCUUGUUCCACACACCAUGCGUCCUUCGACGGAUGAGCGUCGCGAGUGCGACUCUGAACCAUGGACAGGUCUGAACGGACGGACCCAAAAUGCAUUUCGAGAGCGCAAUGCUAUGGAGCCAGUUUCCUGCCAUAAUUCCAACCUGAAAAAAAAAGUUUCAAAGGGAAAUUCAAACAUCUGUAAACAUGAUUUGUGUUCUAUUUUAUCUUCAUCAUUUUCACCAACACAUUUUCAAAGUUCAAACAAUAUCACCAGCGCAUUUGCAGAGUUUCAAAUCUGGCACUGUUCUAACAGUGUAUUUCAUUGUUUCCCGGUUUUGAAACCUUGUAAAUGGGAUUCUGCAAACAGGUGUUAAAAACAUGUAAAGGUGUACGUUUACGCCAUUGCAAUGUCUUUUUUCAGAACUGACUUUUCAGAGAAUUGACCAUGCAGGCGCAAGCUUUGAGUCACGUGAAUAUUGGCAGCGUUCUGUCGCGCAUUCGUUUUGAAACUCCUGACAGUCUGAAGAAAAAGAAAACGUUCCUGGGGACCAUUUAUCUCUAAACCUAUUAGUUGCUAACCCUUUUCUUCAGAGACUGUCAGGAGUUUCAAAACAAAUGCGCGACAGAACACUGCCAAUAUUCACGUGACUCAAAGCUUGCGCCUGUGUGGUCGAAUCUCUGAAAAGUCAGUGCUGAUAAGUCACUUCUGAAAAAAUACAUUGCAAUGGCGUAAACAUACACCUUUACAAGUUUUUAAAAAUAAAUAUUCAACCUUUCAAAACUUAUUUCUCAAUGUAUGAACACCUGUUUGCAUUUACAAGGUUUCAAAACCGGGAAACAAUGAAAUACACUGUUAGAACAGUGCCAGAUUUGAAACUCUGCAAAUGCGCUGGUGAUAUUGUUUGAACUUUGAAAACAUGUUUGUGGGAAAAAAAAAAAUACUUUGAAAAUGUGUUGGUGAAAAUGAUGAAGAAGAUAAAAUAGAACACAAAAUCAUUUUUACAGUUGUUUGAAUUUUUUUCAGGUUAUAAUGUCUUUUUUCAGUGUUGCAAAACCUUUUUUACAAGGUGUUGAGUUUUCAAACCCAGACUUACAAGCCUUUGAAACUUUUCUUUUCAGGUUUGAAUUAUGGCAGGAAACUGGCUCCAUACAAUGCAAGUCACGGGCGCAUGGCGUAGUUUGAAACAAACCUCAUUCAGUCGUAUUGCUGGACUCAUUUUGUAGCCUAUACUGCUUAUGUUAAUAUUCCUCUAUUUAUUUUCAGGCGCCGCAGGAUCCUCGACCAUGAAUGAAUGUGUGUGUGUAAAUAAUAAUUAUAUUCGUUAGAAUAAUAGGGUUAUUUGGGGUUGGGUUGUUCGUGUUCGGUUAUCACGUUGUAUUGUUCAUUAUUGUCGCCAUCGUUGUUGUGUCAUGUUUGUUUGUUGGGUGCUCUAUGUGAGAGGAUUUUAAUAAAAGUAGUCUGCGUCGAGGGGUGUACGGGGCGCAGAACUACAGUUAAAUAAAGUCUGACUGUGCGUUUCUUGGCCGCCGCUACAAUAUGUUUGACAACAAUAGCCUAUGUUCUGUGUAUUCAUAUAUUCAUUAGAGCCUUGAAGGAGAUUCAGUAGCCUUAAAAUCCUAAUUUAAUUGUAGAGUCAUAUCAUGAUGUCCUUUAAAUAAAUCAGUGAGUGAAGAACCAACAUCGACCACAAUUCGACCAUAAUCACUAGUUGAAUAAAGGUUGAAAAGGGAUCGACGCGCCGUCGUCGGUCGCCUUCCAUUCAACGUUGAAUCGACCUGGAACAGUAUGAGCAAACUGCCGUUGAAUCGACCAAAAUUCGACCAUAAUCACUAGUUGAAUAAAGGUUGAAAAGGGGUCGACGCGCCGUCGUCGGCCGCCUUCCAUUCAACGUUGAAUCGACCUGGAACAGUAUAGAGCAAACUGCCGUUGAAUCGACCAAAAUUCGACCAUAAUCGUUGAAUAAAGGUUGAAAAGGGAUCGACACACCGUCGUCGUUCGCCUCCCAUUCAACGUUGAAUCGACGGUGGACAGUAUGAGCAAACUGACGUUGAAUCGACGCCCGGUCUCAACGCUG
This is a long non-coding RNA of Gadus morhua (Atlantic cod), 4768 nucleotides long. Lineage: Eukaryota; Metazoa; Chordata; Actinopteri; Gadiformes; Gadidae. The record is from Ensembl.